AUGGAUCUUGAGUGGGCAGUGGUGGUCGGUGCUCGGAGUGGCUAUGUGGAAACAUUCCAGAGAAACGCGGAUACAUGGUGGCCCUCCUCAUCGAUGAGCUUGCGGCUACGGAGAAGAUUAAUACUCAAAGCUUGUGAGUACUCUAGUACAGUACAUCCGUGCUCAAUGAAUACUCAAAGCUUCUGUGAACCACUUCAUGAGGGGUGGCUGGACUUGCUGCAGACGAUGUUGUUCUCCUUGACGCACGCGAUCACCUCGGCGCCGGUGAAACCUAGCCGCUGGAACGCCGUCGAGACGCUUCCGUCCUUUUCGGCGGCGGCGCAGCGUGAAGCACCAUUGGCAUACCACCACUGCGCCGUGAGCUCGAAUAGCACAGCCGGGAGAGAGCCGCUGAGGUUGUUGCCCGCGAGCCCCAAGAACUUGAGCUUCCGGAGCCUGCCGUACCUCUUGGGGAUCGUGCCAGAGAAGAAGCCGCCCCUGAUGUCGAGCGUCUUGAGCUCUGUGGCGUUGCCGAGGUCUUCCGGGAGCGGGCCGACGAAGUUGUUUCCGGACGCGUUGAAGUGGGCCAGCGAGCCGCAAGAGCCGAGGCCGGCCGGGAACCGGCCGGCGAAGCCGUUGUCGCUGACGUCAAACUCCCGGAGCAUCGGGAUUGACACCAACGCCGUCGGCAGCACGCCCGCGAACGCGUUGCCCCGGAGCAAGACCGAGUUGAGCGCGGUGAGGCCGAGGACGGCGUCCGGGAUGGUGCCGCUCAGGUUCAUGCCCGCCAGGUCAAGGCCGGUGACCGCGCCAAGGUCGUCGCAGCGCACGCCCUUCCAGCCGCAAUGCGGCGCCGAGCCCCCAGCCCCGGAGCUCCCCCAGUGGGUCGACGAGCGACGCCCUGAUGGCCAGCAGCAUCGCCGCCUCGUCGCUCGUGGCGGCAGCGCCAUUGGACGCCCCGGCGCAGCACACGAGCGACAAUGA
Molecule: ribosomal RNA, 963 nt
Filed under: Triticum aestivum (bread wheat)
Lineage: Eukaryota; Viridiplantae; Streptophyta; Magnoliopsida; Poales; Poaceae
Description: partial small subunit ribosomal RNA
Source: RNAcentral